Molecule: ribosomal RNA, 449 nt
Filed under: uncultured bacterium
Lineage: Bacteria
Description: partial 16S ribosomal RNA
Rfam family: Bacterial small subunit ribosomal RNA
Source: RNAcentral
AACGAGCGCUGGCGGCAUGCCUAACACGUGCAAGUCGAACGAGAUCUUCGGGUCUAGUGGCGCACGGGUGCGUAACGCGUGGGAAUCUGCCCUUUGGUUCGGAGUAACAGUUGGAAACGACUGCUAAUACCGGAUGAUGACGAAAGUCCAAAGAUUUAUCGCCAGAGGAUGAGCCCGCGUAGGAUUAGCUAGUUGGUGUGGUAAAGGCGCACCAAGGCGACGAUCCUUAGCUGGUCUGAGAGGAUGAUCAGCCACACUGGGACUGAGACACGGCCCAGACUCCUACGGGAGGCAGCAGUGGGGAAUAUUGGACAAUGGGCGAAAGCCUGAUCCAGCAAUGCCGCGCGAGUGAUGAAGGCCUUAGGGUUGUAAAGCUCUUUUACCCGGGAUGAUAAUGACAGUACCGGGAGAAUAAGCUCCGGCUAACUCCGUGCCAGCAGCCGCCGUAA